AGAGUUUGAUCAUGGCUCAGGAUGAACGCUAGCGGCAGGCUUAAUACAUGCAAGACGAACGGUAAGUGGAGUAGUAAUACUUCACCUAGAGUGUCGUACGGGUGCGUAACGGGUAUGCAAUCUGCCCUGUACAGGAGGAUAGCUCCCCGAAAGGGGAAUUAAUACUUCAUAAUAUAAUUGGAUGGCAUCAUUUGAUUAUUAGAGUUGAGGCGGUACAGGAUGAGCAUGCUUCUGAUUAGCUAGUUGGCGGUGUAACGGACCACCAAGGCGAUGAUCAGUAGGGGACCUGAGAGGGUGAUCCCCCACACUGGCACUGAGAUACGGGCCAGACUCCUACGGGAGGCAGCAGUAGGGAAUAUUGGUCAAUGGGUGAGAGCCUGAACCAGCCAUGCCGCGUGCAGGAAGACGGCCUUCUGGGUUGUAAACUGCUUUUACCAGGGGAUAAAAUGGUCUUGCGAGACUAAUUGCAGGUACCUGGUGAAUAAGCCACGGCUAACUACGUGCCAGCAGCCGCGGUAAUACGUAGGUGGCAAGCGUUGUCCGGAUUUAUUGGGUUUAAAGGGUGCGUAGGCGGCCCUGUAAGUCAGUGCUGAAAUAUCCCGGCUUAACCGGGAGGGUGGCAUUGAUACUGCGGGGCUUGAGUACAGAUGAGGUAGGCGGAAUUGACGGUGUAGCGGUGAAAUGCAUAGAUAUCGUCAAGAACACCGAUAGCGAAGGCAGCUACUAAGUUGUAACUGACGCUGAUGCACGAAAGUGUGGGGAUCAAACAGGAUUAGAUACCCUGGUAGUCCACACUGUAAACGUUGAUUACUCGCUGUUUGCGAUACACAGCAAGCGGCCAAGCGCAAGCGAUAAGUAAUCCACCUGGGGAGUACGCCGGCACGGUGAAACUCAAAUGAAUUGACGG
RNAcentral lists this ribosomal RNA (907 nucleotides) under uncultured bacterium. Its description in RNAcentral is "bacterial SSU rRNA". It matches the Rfam family "Bacterial small subunit ribosomal RNA", at positions 8 to 916 of the family's 1533-position model. The record is from RNAcentral.